Molecule: long non-coding RNA, 844 nt
Organism: Portunus trituberculatus (swimming crab)
Lineage: Eukaryota; Metazoa; Arthropoda; Malacostraca; Decapoda; Portunidae
Exons: 2
Source: RefSeq, a predicted model, not a curated record
UAAUCUUGUGUGUGUGUGUGUGUGUGUGUGUGUGUGUGUGUGUGUGUGUGUCUGUGUGUGUGUGUGUGUGAGAGAGUGCGAGAUAAUCACUUUUUUCUUAUUUAUUAAAGGUAAUGUAGAGUUUUUAGGAGUUUGUGAGUGAGGUGAGAGUGUGUCAGUGUGUCAGGGGUGUAUCAAGAGUGUAUCUUACUAUGUAGAUUGCUUCAAUGAAUGGUAAUGAAUGGUGUCUUAACCCCUUCAGUACUAUGACACAUUUCCCUAUUCCUUGUGGUGACUAUUUGGUGAUUUUGUACAGCUUCACAAAGUCAUGUUGGGGUGAAAAUUGUGAUUUACAUCCCGUACCUACUCACUGCUAGGUGAACAGGGGCUACACGUGAAAGGAGACACACCCAAAUGUCUCCACCCGGCCAGGGAAUCGAACCCCGGUCCUCUGGCUUGUGACCACUGAGCUACCGGGUGUGUGUGUGUGUGUGUUUAAAAUGUAUUGUUUUCAUGUAAAUUAUUAUUAUUUCAUUGUUUUUCUCUCUCUCUCUCUCUUGUAAAUUGUUGUAAAUGUUGUAAAUGUCUAUUUUGUAUUAAGUUGAUAAUUGUUGACUUUUUUUAAUGUUUGAAAAUUUGUGUAGAGUUUUUGCUGUAAUUUUUCAUAUUUUUACUGUUUAUUCAUUUUUUUUACUAUUUUUUUACUAUUAAGUUGAAAUUUGUGUAGAGUUUUUUUCUGUAAUCUUUCAUAUUUUUACUGUUUAUUCAUGUUUAUUCAUUUUUUUUACUAUUAAGUUGAAAAUAUUUGUAGAGUUUUGCAGGCAAUGUACUAUAAUGUCAAAUGUUGAAUAAAAGUGUAGGGAGA